Molecule: ribosomal RNA, 253 nt
Filed under: uncultured bacterium
Lineage: Bacteria
Description: partial 16S ribosomal RNA
Rfam family: Bacterial small subunit ribosomal RNA
Source: RNAcentral
GACGUAGGGCGCGAGCGUUGUCCGGAUUUAUUGGGCGUAAAGAGCUCGUAGGCGGCUUGUCGCGUCGUUCGUGAAAACCUGCAGCUCAACUGCAGGCUUGCGGGCGAUACGGGCAGGCUAGAGUUCGGUAGGGGAGACUGGAAUUCCUGGUGUAGCGGUGAAAUGCGCAGAUAUCAGGAAGAACACCCGUGGCUAAGGCGGCUCUCUAGUACGGUACUGACGCUGAGACGCGAAAGCGUGGGGAGCGAACAGG